AGUGAACGCUGGCGGUAGGCCUAACACAUGCAAGUCGAACGGCAGCACAGUAAGAGCUUGCUCUUACGGGUGGCGAGUGGCGGACGGGUGAGGAGUACAUCGGAAUCUACUUUUUCGUGGGGGAUAACGUAGGGAAACUUACGCUAAUACCGCAUACGACCUACGGGUGAAAGCAGGGGAUCUUCGGACCUUGCGCGAUUGAAUGAGCCGAUGUCGGAUUAGCCAGUUGGCGGGGUAAAGGCCCACCAAGGCGACGAUCCGUAGCUGGUCUGAGAGGAUGAUCAGCCACACUGGAACUGAGACACGGUCCAGACUCCUACGGGAGGCAGCAGUGGGGAAUAUUGGACAAUGGGCGCAAGCCUGAUCCAGCCAUACCGCGUGGGUGAAGAAGGCCUUCGGGUUGUAAAGCCCUUUUGUUGGGAAAGAAAAGCAGCAGGUUAAUACCCCGCUGUUCUGACGGUACCCAAAGAAUAAGCACCGGCUAACUUCGUG
This 492-nucleotide ribosomal RNA is filed under the name uncultured bacterium. Its description in RNAcentral is "partial 16S ribosomal RNA". It matches the Rfam family "Bacterial small subunit ribosomal RNA", at positions 29 to 507 of the family's 1533-position model. The record is from RNAcentral.